UACGAGAGGCCCAAACGUUAUUCGGAAUUACUGGGCUUAAAGAGUUCGUAGGCGGCAUUGCAAGUAGGGUGUGAAAGCCCUCGGCUCAACCGAGGAAUUGCGCUCUAAGCUGCAGUGCUUGAGGAACCUAGAGGUGAGCAGAACAGAUGGUGGAGCGGUGAAAUGCGUUGAUAUCAUCUGGAAUACCGGAGGCGAAGGCGGCUCACUGGGAGUUUUCUGACGCUGAGGAACGAAAGCCAGGGUAGCGAACGGG
RNAcentral lists this ribosomal RNA (253 nucleotides) under uncultured bacterium. RNAcentral's name for it is "partial 16S ribosomal RNA". It matches the Rfam family "Bacterial small subunit ribosomal RNA", at positions 524 to 776 of the family's 1533-position model. The record is from RNAcentral.